Molecule: long non-coding RNA, 1796 nt
Filed under: Musa acuminata (dwarf banana)
Lineage: Eukaryota; Viridiplantae; Streptophyta; Magnoliopsida; Zingiberales; Musaceae
Description: long non-coding RNA (MACU_LNC004284)
Source: RNAcentral
GCUGGGCUGCGUCUGCGUGGGGCGCCCGUGAUGUCCUUGUUGCUGUCGGCGUGGCGGUGCCCGGCGUACUACCGACGACCGAUGUGACGCCUCAACCGUCACCACCGUCGUCCUCGCAUCGCCUCUCUCUCUCUCUCUUUCGAUCGUCCUGGCGGUGGUUAACGUGGUCACGAGCCGCGACUUCGCUCGUCGGAUUCUGUCGGUCCCCGCGCGAGCCUUCUAUGAGUGUGUAUGACCGCGUCGGAAUCGGUCACCACCGUACUUGCACGUAAGCUGUUUGUGGAAUUGUCCGCCCGAAUGUAGUACCUUUAUUUCGUUUACUGUGGCAACUCAUAGAAGCGCACACACCCUCUCCACGAAACCAGAGCGGAUAAAGCGAAGAGCCGCAAGCCUUAUGGUUUCAAGAUCUGGAUCUCUUUUCCACGCGUCGAUUUGACUUCGCUAUGGUCCUCAUGAGAUUGGAUGCGUCCAAGGUUGCCGGACCACCUGCAAGUAGCGUGUAACUUGGUUAGCCGAUCACUGAUCUCAACAAAAGCAUAUGAUGUUAGUACUGUGCUUUCACAUAGGUCCAACAAGUUAGGUCACACGGCCAUUGAUGUGGACCUGCUUUUCGGAGAAGUUACAUUUAAUUUAUAAUUGACAUUACAUGGUAGAAUUCUGUGGUAAUGUUGAAAUUUGUGAUUACGUUCGAUCAUGGGAUCGAUCGAUGUGAUGGGGACAUUCACGGCAAGAUUCUAGUGGAGUUGACACGAGCAAUUGGCGUCGAGGUGAGUCACUGCAGACGUGACUCACGUGAUUGAACCGCGGGGUCAAUUUGAUGUGGUCUCGGAAGCGCAUGCGGCAGCCACCAAAAGAGCCGCUUUCAUGUCUUGAACGGGACCAGAGAUGAGUCAAGUCGGAAUCAUGUGUUAUACCUGCGUAAUUUCCUUUUGUUUUACAUGUAUAUGUAUGUAUGCUGGUAAAAUCUAAAAACUCAAGUGUGUAUGUAGUCAUUAUCUAACUUCGAUUUAACUAUUAGUUGUGAUUUUAAAAAAUAUAUAUUAAUUUUAGAAAGUUCUGUUAGAAAAAAUAAAUGUAUUAUAUUACAAUUUUGUAAGGAUAAAUAUAUAGGACAUCCCAUAUAUAUAAUCCUAAAAUUUACCAUUUGUCUCUCCUCUCUAUAUCUACCCAUUACCAUGUUUCGUAUAUAAAAUCGUACCUCCAUCGUUGAGUCUCUUCGUCCUUCUUCCUACUAAUCUCUCUCUCUCUCUCUCCUAAACUUGUUUCUUCGCUAUCUAUAUAUAUAUAUCUCAGUCUGAGAUUGAACAGAGACAGGAGAGGGAAGGGGGAUCCAAGAUCUGAGAAGCGUACAUGGACGAGGAGUGGAAGCUGUCGAAGGAGAGAGGAAGAAUGGUGGUGGUGGCAGAGAGAGCAGGGUCCUUCCUGAAGGGGUCCACCAGCGCAAGGGAAGGGCGGCGGCGGAGGCGGCGGUCGACGCCCAGGUCGUUUACGAGCCGGUGCGUGCGUCUAGUCAAGGAGCAGCGAGGCAGGUUCUACAUCAUGCGCCGCUGUGUCACCAUGCUCAUUUGCUGGCGAGAUUACCCUUGACAUGUAGCAGUAGGAGUAGUAGGAUAAAUAUGUAUACACUUGUGAUCUUUCUCUUGGCAACAACAGGAAUCGAAGAAAGGAAAAGUAGCAGCCAAAAUAUAUAGACUAUUAACAUGCGUUCUUCUCUGUUCAUACUCUUCACCUUUGCUUUGGUCUGACUUUGGAUGGAUUUCUGAGGCAGCUGUGGUUGUUGUUCGUUACUCCGUUUC